This is a long non-coding RNA of Condylura cristata (star-nosed mole), 3548 nucleotides long. RefSeq lists it as uncharacterized. The record is from RefSeq and is a predicted model, not a curated record. Lineage: Eukaryota; Metazoa; Chordata; Mammalia; Eulipotyphla; Talpidae. The transcript has 3 exons.
AAAAACUUGCCGAGCCUCGCACACACCACUUCACUCUCCACUCCGAGGCUCAGGGAGCAAGUACCUGACGUGGGGGGGAAAAGUUGGCUUUUUUUCCUCCUUCGUCUUUUGCGCCCUUCUCUAUCUUCCCAGAAGGGAAGGACCGUUUAAACUAUUUUAGACGCAAUCAAGGGGAAAAAAAAUCACCGUGUGGAAUUGAGCGGCAGUUUUAAAUGUAUUAAGGCGAGGGAUCAUCUGCAAAAAAAAAAAAAAAAAAUUUUUUUGAGACGCCAAAAGGAGCCAGUUUGUGUACUGCAGCCGCCUUGUGACUCUGGAUCUUGUCUUUUGGCCGGCGCCUUGAUUCCUGCCCAGCUGGAUUUGGGGGGCAACACUGCCUGGUGCAGGCAUCAGAGCAAAUGACACUACAAAGAUGCAUAAAAUGAAUAGACAGUCCAGCCAGUCAAAGACCGGGGGCAGCAGCACACCAGCAAGACGGCAUCUUCUCCCCAGCCUAGAAGCCCUGUGAAAUCGAGGAUCUUCCCCCUAAAACACACACACACAAGAUAUGUGCAAUCAAGCUGCCACCGCUUGCUAAAAAGCCUAACCCAAAAGGAUCUGGACCAGAUCCCUGAAUCAGCUGUCACUUCUAUAGAAUGGGAUUUUUUUUUCCUUCCUCCUUAACCUGCGCUGGAAAUUGCCUUUGGCUUUAUACAUCUUUAUAGAGGGAGGCAAAAGAGUCUGGCGUGAGAAUGAAGCAAUUUACAAUGCAAAUAGAGGCCUGUGAAGGGACGGAUGCUGCUCCUCACUUCUAAAAGCUUGCUGCACCUGAGUAGCUGGUCUUAUUUUCUGAUAUUAAUAGUUGAAUUGUUGGCUAACGCUGCCGGAGAUUACUUGCUGAAAGGAAAAAAAAAAAAGUUCGGAAUAAACUUUGAAAGCCACAGAUCUCGUUUGGAUGUUUUAGCCGCACACACAAGCAGAACCCAGGUCAUAUUUACACACGAGGAGGAAUCUGAUGCGCGGCAAGUCUCCUGGAGAACUACUCUUCGGUACUGCCCGAAAGAAAGGAUCCAGGUCCGGAGUCUGGCCAGAGGAAGACAGAGGUGUGUGAGGGAAGUGAGUUGUUAUCUUUGGUUAUCUAGCUGUAUGAGUGUAUUGGUCUUCAUAAAGCUAGAUAACCGAAAGUAAAAACUCCUUCAAGAUCGCCGGGCAGCGUGUGAGAAUGAAAGCCUCCAACCAACAGACAGUAAAAACCAGAAAGGUCAGGAAUACUUAUUGAAUCUAACUUUGUUUUGUUUUUGUUUUUGUUUUUCCUUUUGAUUAAAGGUGGGGUUAGCGGAAGGGAAAUGGCACACAUAUGCCAAAACCUAAAGGUGCCAGAUACUUUGAGAGGCGUAGUUUCAGCUACAAAGGAGAAUUGUAUAGAGCUAAUGAGUAAAAGAUGCACUUGCAGUUUGUUCUACUUUAAGGCAAAAGUUUACAUAUGAGGGUUUUUUUUUUUCUUUAGAAAGCUAUUGGUAGAGAUGUCUGGUACUUAGUUUAAAAAUGAUUCUAUAAUGUGUGGAUUUAUGCAGUUCCCUUCUGAGGCUCCCCUCCCCCUGAAAGUUGGAAGAUUAUGUCUCCAAACUACAUGUAUUGAGGUUGCAUGACAAAUUAUAUGAAUUAGACUUUCAGAAAAGUUUAUAUUGGAAAGUUAACAAUUUAUAGCUACUAAGGACAUAGAACUAGCAGGGAAAUGCAAGAAAAAAAAAAAAGCAAAGGCUGAUUUUUAUUCUUCUAUUCAAAAUACAAGGACAGAUGCUUCUCUGUUCCAAGAGGGUUUCCUUGAGGAAGCUACUGAAGCAGAAAGACAUGAUGGAGACGAGAUCGCCUCCCCUCUUGUCAAAGUGUUAAAAAAAUGUUCUGUCUUACUCUGCGCCUAGCAUUGGAAAUGAAAGUGACAUUUACGCCACAACCCACGUGUGCGCCUCCUCUCUUUUUGUUUAAGGAUGAUCAGGUCUAUCCAGGAAACAGCUCUGGCAUCCCAAACUGAAAUAAUUAGGACGUAUAUAGACCUGACAAAAAUGGAAAGGGGGUGGGGAAUCUGAGGGUCUGUCUUGCCUAAUUGAUUCCGCUAAACGGAAUGCAGGAGAUGUGAACGGCAGGACGCUCCGAUUCCCACGCUCGGGGGCAAGUGGUAAAGCGGGCGGGCAGCCUAUGACAGACAGCCCUGUUGGGGGGUGGGGGUAUGAAAAAAACAUCAAGUGCACACACCAUACUCAUCUCCAUCGCUUAAGAAAGUAGAGGCAUUUCCCACCCACAGCCAUCUGCAGCCUCCCAAAUGGCAACACCAACUGUUCUGUAGCUGCGGCAUACUGUCUGUUUCUGUUAAUUUUAUAACCGCUGCUUAAUCUGGCCACAAUUAAGUUUGGCUUUCUCCUUUGGUUGAGAUUUUCAAUAUUUUUUAAAGAAAGCUUGUGCAAAGUGGUUUCAAGAAAGGCCCAUUACUGCCUGCCCCUGGUGUCAAGUUCUCAGUCUGUGCUUUGGCCUUGUGUCCACCUUUUGGUUUUGGUUUUGGGUGGGUUAUAGUUGAAAAGCUCCAUCUUUCUACAGCAGACAUUAGUACCACUUCCUCAGACUGUGUCUUAACCUAAUAAAUCUAGGAACUUGGCCUAAUUACGCUAGCACACACACUGGAAGUAAAGAAAGUUGAUUACAAUAACAAUAUGAUAAAAGUUGUUUUGGUAUAGUCCCAGCUAGAGGUGUUCUGAAUAGUCAUUUAAAUUUAAUCUAAAAAUGACUAUGCUUACUAUAAACUUUGGGGCUUUGGAGCUCCCUACUGUAAUCUUCUCAUAUAAGUCCUCGCAUUUUUUCAUGUGUUACCAAGCAAAUAUUUGUAUAGGCACUACAUUGCAAUAAGCAAAUGUCCAAAAUGGCACAUUACCUUCCACGUGGUCUGGGUUGCUGAAAAUCCCAAGUAGAUUCAUUUUUCUUCAAAAAACAGUAUGUUUUUCUUUGUAGCUUCAAUCUUUAUAAGACUUACGGAGACUUUACAGACUGGAGAAGCCUGUAAAACCACUGUUAGUUUCAGUUAGAAAUUCCAAGGCAUUUCAUUAAGGUAAAUUCCCAAUUUGGCUGCUGAACGCGUGCCAAAGUUUUACUACUGUAGUGACCGUUGAGAAGACCCUUGUUUAUUUACAUUUGAAGCACUGUUUGUGCAAACAACCUUUCAUUGUUAAGUGCCUGUAUUCCUUUCAUUUACUUCAUGUCCAGGGGUGCUAUUUACCUAGAACCAUUGUCUACUACAAUUAACAUUUACAUUACAAAGUGUGUGGUUUUCUUUCUCAAGGAGGUUCAAUUAAGGCAAUAAGAUGUUUGCUGGGGGAACCUAUUGUUUACUGAAAGCACUCAAUGGAGUCAAAUUACUAAAGCUUUUGCCUACAUCUUGGUCUUUUAUGCAAAUGUGUUAAAUAUAACAUCUAAGGAAAUAAACAAUAUUAUAAUUAUGUGUUUACCAUUGUCAUAUCAAACUUGCUUUGUAUCAUACUAAUGUUACAUGACUUAUCAAUCAAUAAAAAUACAUUUCAAUGUUA